Molecule: ribosomal RNA, 492 nt
Filed under: uncultured bacterium
Lineage: Bacteria
Description: partial 16S ribosomal RNA
Rfam family: Bacterial small subunit ribosomal RNA
Source: RNAcentral
AGUGAACGCUGGCGGUAGGCCUAACACAUGCAAGUCGAACGGCAGCACAGUAAGAGCUUGCUCUUACGGGUGGCGAGUGGCGGACGGGUGAGGAAUACAUCGGAAUCUACUUUUUCGUGGGGGAUAACGUAGGGAAACUUACGCUACUACCGCAUACGACCUACGGGUGAAAGCAGGGGAUCUUCGGACCUUUCGCGAUUGAAUGAGCCGAUGUCGGAUUAGCUAGUUGGCGGGGUAAAGGCCCACCAAGGCGACGAUCCGUAGCUGGUCUGAGAGGAUGAUCAGCCACACUGGAACUGAGACACGGUCCAGACUCCUACGGGAGGCAGCAGUGGGGAAUAUUGGACAAUGGGCGCAAGCCUGAUCCAGCCAUACCGCGUGGGUGAAGAAGGCCUUCGGGUUGUAAAGCCCUUUUGUUGAGAAAGAAAAGCAGCAGGUUAAUACCCCGCUGUUCUGACGGUACCCAAAGAAUAAGCACCGGCUAACUUCGUG